This is a long non-coding RNA of Amphibalanus amphitrite, 2492 nucleotides long. RefSeq lists it as uncharacterized. The transcript has 3 exons. The record is from RefSeq and is a predicted model, not a curated record. Lineage: Eukaryota; Metazoa; Arthropoda; Thecostraca; Balanomorpha; Balanidae.
AUGGCGCCCGCGGUUCGCAUUUAAUCCCCCACCCUUCCUUUGAUGCCACACGUCAGCAGUUAAACUUGCACCUCUAGCUGAGUCGGGCGAGUGCCGAUGUGGCAGCUGGCCGCGGUCACGUGACCGAGCGUGACCCUUGUGCGCGCGGGCCGAGUAGAGGGCGUUGUUUUGUGCCCGGUGUGCUGAGGGGCGGACGUGUGAGCUGGAGCUGCGCGAACUGCAGAGUGAGCACCGCGGAGUCGGGCUGCUCGUGAGUCCGGGGAUGUUUGGCGGCCGAGCUGUGGCUGUGGGUUCCCCCGUGACGGACCGUGUGGACGGAGCAAUCUUCGUGACGAGAUCGACUUGUUGAGCGCCGGAGACGUGAACAGCCGUAACGGACAGUUUCGGACUGCCUCGAGAGCUGAUGCAGACGAAUAGAGGUCCAGUUGACGGCACAGCGUGUGUGACUACGAGGGCGCUCGGUUUGGCCCACGGCUGAGGCCGUGGCGGCUACAGUUGGCUUCUUUUGUAAGUCUAUCAAAAUGAGUGUGAAUGUGAAACAUUUAUUGUACUACAAUCGAAUUCCAUCACGCAGCGGCUCAGUGAUGGAAUUGUAUCACACAUGUCUCAUAUUACGCUGUCAGUCGGAAAUCUUUCUAUAGGGACGCGGCGAAGGCUUCACGUCUGCAGCUUUGACUGUUUGACUGCGGCCGUCGACGACAGCGACGUCCAUUAUUCACAGCACGAUGAACAGGACUCUGGCUUCGAGCGACGGAUGGCCGUUAGUAUAGCAGCCUGGGGAAGGGGCUGCUCGCUCUAGGCACUGAGUCCCAGGGGCGACAGCCAAGCCGCGGCUUCAUUCGGAUAAAGAGCAGAACUUCAUGUAUGAUGAACGACUCCUGAGUCAUGCGUACUGUCAUAGCUGCUGGACUCUUAUAAAAGUCGCCAAAGACAAAGCCAUCAAACCUUGCACUUGGCCCAACUCACGCUUCACUGAGAGCUCACGACCGCCAUUCUUCAUCCAAGUUCACGGCUCAUAAGCCACACAAAUCUUAGAUCUCGUCCCGAACUCAGGUCACCAACCUCGGACAAAGCAUCAACGCGAUCCAUCCAUAGGAACUCGGAACGAAAUCCGCGAGCGGCAUUCAUGUUUCGUUGUGUUUGAAUUGGACUCUACAUUGCACACAAUUGCGCAUGCAAGUUGUGCAGCGGGGAAUCCCACAGCCGGAGAGAGCUGCAGCUCGGGGGAACGGACGCGUUUCCGUGGGAAAAGACAGCCGGCACCGCCGCCUCCGUCCGGUCAGGUAAUUGGAUAGCAUAUUCGUGUGCUCGGAGCACGCUCGAUCAACAUAGUGCAGAGAGCAGACGGCGGUGGUUUGUCCGCCGUCUGUGACGCCCGCGGGCACAUGCCGUACCGUCUGUCCCACCCACCAUCUCAGGUGCUAUGCAUAUGUUUUGUAAAUGACUCAGUUUGAAGGUUUCGGCAAGGUUGUAAAAUUGUAUGUAUAUACUGUGAUUAGGUUAAUCAUCCCCAUUAAGCACGGAAGAUUCAUCCGAUGUUCGUUCAAAACAUAUUUGUUAAUUUUGUCAUGUGUCUAGCUGCCAAUGCAUGGUUGAUUGAGCUAAUGAGUUAGGGGUAGGAGCUGUGGUGCUUUUAGCCAACAGAUUGACAGUCAUUCGGUUGGAAACAGAUGGAUCCAACUCUGAUUUCCCGCAAGCUCUUGAAUUAGACGGAAAACAUGGAGUGAUAUAUUCCACAAAAACAAAGUUAAUGAAAUAACCGACGUAGCUGUGUUAACACAAAAUUAUACUGAUGUUGAAAUAAGAAAUUUGUUUGAUCUAUAUUUCAUUAUACAAUGAGGGGCAAUGCUUUUCCUGGACAGAUUGCUUGUGCCUUAAAAGCUUAAUAUGCACCAUAUGUCAGACGGCAUUCAAAGGAAACAUUCAUAAAUUUGCUUCAUUCAACAGUACUUAUUUGGUAUCUGUAUCCGUCAACGAAAUUGUAUUCGUUAAAAAUUUUACUGAGCCAUGUUGCGUUGUUGAGGUGCAAAUCUAUAAUAUACUGCUUGAAAGGGAUCUGCCAGAUCAUACCAAACGCUAAAUGAAAACGUAUGAAGGUAUCCUUAAAUAUACGCCCGUCACUGGCACCCUAACGUUUGAAAUCAAAUGACGUUCAAAGGGCUCAGGACAAUGCACCCCUGUUCCACUCACCUGUUCUGGCGAUAAGGAAGAGGCCGAUGACUGCCAGCGUGCGAACAGCCCGCGGCCUGUGUCGACUGUCACAUAGCAUGCCGACUGUAGUUCGUCACCACGAGAUGAACACCUAUUGGGCGACCAGGUUGAACCAGCCGAAACGCUCAGCACGUGUCAGCAUACCCUGUAAAGAUAUAAAAGUGUCAUUUAAUGUCUGUGAUGGAAAACAAUAACAUCUAAAAUUUGCAAAAAAAGAAAAACACCACAAAAUGUGUUCCGGUCUUCAAAACUAUUGCUAAUAUAUGUUUGAGCAUAGAUAA